GACGAACGCUGGCGGCGUGCUUAACACAUGCAAGUCGAACGGAAAGGCCCUGCUUUUGUGGGGUGCUCGAGUGGCGAACGGGUGAGUAACACGUGAGUAACCUGCCCUUGACUUUGGGAUAACUUCAGGAAACUGGGGCUAAUACCGGAUAGGAGCUCCUGCCGCAUGGUGGGGGUUUGAAAGUUUCGGCGGUUGGGGAUGGACUCGCGGCUUAUCAGCUUGUUGGUGGGGUAGUGGCUUACCAAGGCUUUGACGGGUAGCCGGCCUGAGAGGGUGACCGGCCACAUUGGGACAGAGAUACGGGCCGGAGUCCUACGGGAGGCAGCAGUGGGGAAUAUUGCAUGAUGGGCGGAAGCCUGAUGCAGCAACGCCGCGUGCGGGAUGACGGCCUUCGGGUUGUAAACCGCUUUCGCCUGUGACGAAGCGUGAGUGACGGUAAUGGGUAAAGAAGCACCGGCUAACUACGUG
This 468-nucleotide ribosomal RNA is filed under the name uncultured bacterium. Its description in RNAcentral is "partial 16S ribosomal RNA". It matches the Rfam family "Bacterial small subunit ribosomal RNA", at positions 28 to 507 of the family's 1533-position model. The record is from RNAcentral.